This 611-nucleotide long non-coding RNA is filed under the name Malus domestica (apple). RNAcentral describes it as "long non-coding RNA (MDOM_LNC019810)". The record is from RNAcentral. Lineage: Eukaryota; Viridiplantae; Streptophyta; Magnoliopsida; Rosales; Rosaceae.
AGUAGUCUCAUCCUCACAGUCUUCCUAUUAGAUAAGUCUAUCGUAAAUAGGACAACACAAACAACAAAUGCUUCUUCCUUUGUUGUAUGAACAAAGGAACUUGAGAAGAUUAGCACAAAGACAUGGACACUUUUAGUGUCAUAAUUCUUCCAUUACAAAUCAUUGUAUGAAGAAAUAAGAGUUGCUUUGAACAACCCUUAGUUAACACAAACACUAGUACUUGUUUCUUUGCUAAAUGAACAAGGAACUUGAGAAGUAAGCACAAGGGCAUGGACACUUUUUGUGCCAUGAUUCUUCACUUACAAAUUGUUGUAUGAAGAAAUGAGAGCUACCUUGAACAACUCUUGAAAGUUUUUAAUCAUGUUUGGAACAUAAUGGUUGAUUGACAAAAGUAGUACAUCAACAUGGACUUAUGAUGAUUUUGAAUCAUUGAGUGUUGAAGUGUUAAACCACUUCAGGAGACGGAAACUAGGCAAGGACUUAACCUUUGAGUGCCUAUCCAAAUUUUUCACUAAGUUUAUAGUAAGCUAUAUAGUGAAUAAUAACCGCACGCUCUCCAAAUCCUUUGAUGCGUAUAACACAAUUGAAAUAAGUUUCAAGAGAGAUAGUGG